CCGCCAUUAACUCAACUGGAAGAGUAUUUAGCUUAAUUAAGGUUAAGAGUCGAGGUUCGAUGCCUCGAUGGCGGACCA
Molecule: transfer RNA, 78 nt
Filed under: Providencia alcalifaciens
Lineage: Bacteria; Pseudomonadati; Pseudomonadota; Gammaproteobacteria; Enterobacterales; Morganellaceae
Also listed under: 3 other names
Description: tRNA-OTHER
Source: RNAcentral